ACGGGUAGAGGCGCAUUGCCUAAAAGUAGAUUGUUAGAGGGUGAUUCUGAUGACAACAAUCGAAAGGAGUCAAUGCCGAAGUUAAUUACGUUAAUCAGACGUAUUUAGCUGGGGUUAUUUCAAAAAGGAAUAACACUGCCAUAGUCAAUUUAUUUUUUAACUAUGGAGCGCUACUGUA
Molecule: non-coding RNA, 178 nt
Filed under: uncultured Aliivibrio sp.
Lineage: Bacteria; Pseudomonadati; Pseudomonadota; Gammaproteobacteria; Vibrionales; Vibrionaceae
Description: Lysine riboswitch
Rfam family: Lysine riboswitch aptamer
About the family: Riboswitches are metabolite binding domains within certain messenger RNAs that serve as precision sensors for their corresponding targets. Allosteric rearrangement of mRNA structure is mediated by ligand binding, and this results in modulation of gene expression.
Source: RNAcentral